This 213-nucleotide unclassified non-coding RNA is filed under the name plant metagenome. RNAcentral's name for it is "partial contains small subunit ribosomal RNA, internal transcribed spacer 1, and 5.8S ribosomal RNA". The record is from RNAcentral.
UUUCCGUAGGUGAACCUGCGGAAGGAUCAUUCAUAAUAAGUGUUUUAUGGCACUUUUUUAAAUCCAUAUCCACCUUGUGUGCAAUGUCAGGGUUGAUCUUUCUCUCGAGAGGAUCAACCCCAAACAUCAACUAUAUCUCAACUCUUUGUCUGAAAAAUAUUAUGAAUAAAACAAUUCAAAAUACAACUUUCAACAACGGAUCUCUUGGUUCUG